AGGAGACCAGACCCAUAACAGAGCCCAAGAAGAACUGAGAGGACGAGAAGCGAGCACACAAAUGGAGGAGCAGGCUUAAAGCCUAGAAGCACCGGAUGCAUAGACGCAAACAACACCAAAAGACAUGUCGCCUACACGCACUUAAGCCAGAGAACAAGAAGCUGACACACGACGACUUCAGGACACCGAGCACACCUGGAUUUGGAAGAGAUACUCCAAAGCAGUCCCCCAUGAGAGAGAAACAAGGGAACGGGGCAACCCUCAGGACCCCCGAGAAGGAAGCACACCGCUACUGAACCCUCUCCAAAAACACUCAGAUCUGAGAGAUAAACGGGAAAGUGAAGCACAUGACACCAGAUCUGAGUGAAAAGACGCUGCAAACCGCUCCACGCGCCACCACCUUCAGCAGACGAGCCAAAAUCGAAGAAAACUUCCGGAGCGCCAACCACAAACCCUAAAAACCGACCCCACAGAAAGUCCUCCCGCCAGAAACCCUCGCCGUGACUCCAGAGAACCGGAACGCGCCACAAGCAACCAGAUCCGCCGGCUGGAUCUAAGAUACAUGGACGGCUACGACCCCCAGAGCCCCGAGCAUAUCGGGAGAGGAGAAGAGGACCACCAAGGGGCAAAAGGAAAACGAGGGAAGGGGAAGAGGGGAUCUCCGACACAGGCGAACGGCCAGCCGAUGCCGGAAGAGAACG
RNAcentral lists this long non-coding RNA (701 nucleotides) under Brassica napus (rape). RNAcentral describes it as "long non-coding RNA (BNAP_LNC012020)". The record is from RNAcentral. Lineage: Eukaryota; Viridiplantae; Streptophyta; Magnoliopsida; Brassicales; Brassicaceae.